GCCGGGCGCGGUGGCGCACGCCUGUAGUCCUAGCUACUCGGGAGGCUGAGGCAGGAGGAUCGCUUGAGUCCAGGAGUUCUGGGCUGCAGUGCGCUAUGCCGAUCGGGUGUCUGCACUAAGUUCGGCAUCAAUAUGGUGACCUCCCGGGAGCGGGGGACCACCAGGUUGCCUAAGGAGGGGUGAACUGGCCCAGGUCGGAAACGGAGCAGGUCAAAACUCCCGUGCUGAUCAGUAUCCCCAGGGCUUCUGGUCUGGAUGGGUUGUGUUGUUAAUUCAGGAAGACAGAGGCCCAGUGUGUACACAAAGGCUAACAA
This 314-nucleotide signal recognition particle RNA is filed under the name Castor canadensis (American beaver). Its description in RNAcentral is "Metazoan signal recognition particle RNA (ENSCCNG00000016329.1)". It matches the Rfam family "Metazoan signal recognition particle RNA". From Rfam's summary of the family: The signal recognition particle (SRP) is a universally conserved ribonucleoprotein. It is involved in the co-translational targeting of proteins to membranes. Lineage: Eukaryota; Metazoa; Chordata; Mammalia; Rodentia; Castoridae. The record is from RNAcentral.